Molecule: small nucleolar RNA, 197 nt
Filed under: Tetrapisispora phaffii CBS 4417
Lineage: Eukaryota; Fungi; Ascomycota; Saccharomycetes; Saccharomycetales; Saccharomycetaceae
Source: RNAcentral
UUGGCUUCUUCGAAGAUUGAUGAGUUUUUCCAGUAAUUCAUUGAUUCAAAGCGAAGCCUAAAGUAAAUGUGUAAAUAUAUUUAUUCAAUAGAUAUAUUUCUCAAUGGGUUGGCGUAUCUUAUCUGAAAGAAAAAAGAGGGGAUGCGCAGAGGUUAAUUGUACUAUUGUUGACGUUACUAGAAUCCAUUGAUACAUCU